CCCCGACCGACAACAGGUUUCCAACGAAUACACCGCAGUCGUACCGUCCAGACGAUUUUCGUCAUUUCGUGCCCGUCACUCACGACUCGCUCACUCACUCACUCGGCACUCACCAUUUCAACUUCGACUCUUGUCCGUAUUUGACCGGCUGAAAUAUAAUUCACACAUGGCCUCCGGAUGCGUCUCCGCAAACGACAAGUGAGAACGAAUUGGUUUUAUUCAUUUUUAACGAUUUAUUAUUUAUUAUAAUUUUUGAUUAUCCUAUAAUUUAAUAUGUUUUCGAUUUGUGUUGUUGCGCCGCGUGCGGAACCUCGUGAUAUUUUUUUGGCAGAAGCCGGAAAUUUUGUGUUUUUUUUUUUUUUUAUAUUAACUUUGGACUUUCGAAGCGGAUGCACUAUUUUUUGAAAAUGGUCUCUCUUUGUUAUUUUUACUUGCGUAAUUUUUAUUAUAUUGUAGUAUUAUAUAUUAUUAAAUACACGUAAAAUGCAAUAGAUUGCAAGAUCUUAACAAUUUUUUUGAAAAUUUAAAUUCCUAACAAAUAAUUGAUAAAAUAUUCAAAUUUAAAACGAAAUAGUACUUGCAUGUUGUACUAAAUUUUUAUAAAAUUGCGGUUUUACACAAAUGAAUUGGGCAAAAGGUACACGAAUAGCGCGUCCUGUUUUGCGACGACGUGAUGACAAGUUUGUGUAGACUUGUCGGCUUACAGUGAUCUGAAACGCGAUUAAAAACUUAAUAAAUAAUAUUUUCUAGGAAUACCUACGACUGCCAAUAAAAUGGCUAGAAAUAUAUACAAAAAUAUUGUAAAAUUGUAUUUUCUACAAGCGCGCGCGCCCACUCGAAGGUUUAAUCGAUUUUCGACGCUGCACCAUUGCGGCCAAUGAACAGUCUCGGAUCAUCCCUUGGAUGAAUUCUAAAACGGCCAGAACUACGGGUUGUGCAGAAACACAACCCGUGUAUCGAUUUGUAGUUAAAAAUAACGUAAUUCGAUGCGAUCCCCAACCCGAAAAAAAAAACCGUUAUUUGUCAUCGCCGUUUGAAAAUCCUGAAUAUAAUAUUAUACAUGGGCGCGUUUCGUUCCUUAAAAGCACAUGGUACGGAUUCGUGACCAGACCUAGCAUUACACGGUAACCUUCAGAAAAAAACGCAAAGUGCAUUGAAAUCCUAACCCUAUUGAUAACCAUUAUCGCUGUUAACUAUUGUGAAGUGUUUCCCGAAGUUGAUAUUUUAUUUUACCCUGUACACUUGAAUUAUGGCACCUAUUUUUCCACUGUUUUUAUUAUUAUUAGAUUUAUCCACAACUAUUCCUGUAUGAAUUAUACUUGUGAUUUUAACUUUUUUGUGACGGAUUUUUGUUUCAGCUCCAAGAAGAAUACAGAAACAAAAUAUAUGUGACCCCUCGGUUGCGGAAAACGUUUUAUUGAUCUUGAGUUUUAUACGCGUCAACUAAAGCCUUUAAUUAUUGCAGUCUAAUCGUCUACUUAAUCGCCUACUUUAAAAUAUAAACAAUCAAACAAUAAUUCCUCUUUCUAUUAGCCUAUAAAAAUAUAUUAUUUGAAUGCCUAGUUUUUAUAUAUAAAUAAAUAUAUAUGUGUGCGAUUUUGUUGAAUAAGGGACUUAUUCACCAGCAUUGCACAAAGACAAAUCACUACUCAAAAACUAGGCAUUCAAAUUAAUAAUAAAUGUUUUGAUAAUAUAAAGAGGAAACUUUGUUCGAAAGUUUUUCAUUUUCCUGUAGGCGAUUACGUAGGCUUUGAGACUGCACUUUGCUGGUAAAUUGCUAAAGGUUACUCCAACUGCAGAUAAUCCAAAUACGAUGUCUAGUAUUAAGGAAAAUAAUGGGCCCAUUUAUGUUUUCAAAUUUGCAGAGUAUGUGUUUUAAUUUCUCUAAUUAUACACAUAAUAUUCAUUGUUCUAAUCAAUUAUUAUUCAAUGUUUUUAGAUGUCUCAACAAACAACCUAUUGCAGAGUUGAAGUGAACAAGAUAGGAUCAUGUGUUGAAAUUCGCUUUUCAAAUCUGAUGUUUACCCUAUGGAAUACCUUGGUAUUUGAUAUUGGAGUUCCUGAACUAUAAUUUUGUAUACUCAUCAAACACAAUGGCAGUACAUCAGUUUGAUUCAAAUAACUAUACCACUGGCUUUUGGUAUAAUAACCUGAUCAAACUGACAAUAACUUCUAAGGGAUGUGGCUGGCGAUGUAUUUAUUGUAAAAGAAAGUAUAUACUAUAAAACUUUGUGAUUGAACUAUCCAAACAUGUUAAAAUAAAACCAAAACUACACUUGUAAAAUUAUUUUUAUGCCUCAUAAUGAAUUUGUAUUGUUUUAUGUGC
This 2326-nucleotide long non-coding RNA is filed under the name Cinara cedri. The record is from RNAcentral. Lineage: Eukaryota; Metazoa; Arthropoda; Insecta; Hemiptera; Aphididae.